Molecule: long non-coding RNA, 1111 nt
Filed under: Equus caballus (horse)
Lineage: Eukaryota; Metazoa; Chordata; Mammalia; Perissodactyla; Equidae
Description: lncRNA (ENSECAG00000054978.1)
Source: RNAcentral
CUAGAAGGUGGGAAUAGCUACUGUAACAGCUAAGGUGGGUGCACAUCUGGCAUGUUCAAGGAACCACAAGAGCCCAUGUGCUGGCGUGGAGUGAGGUGGGAUAGGUGACGAGGUCAGAGGGGUACAGGUGGGGUGGGGAGAGCAGAUCAUGAAGGAACCAUCAGAGAGUUUGAUCAAGGGCGCGACAUGAUCUGAUGUAGGUGUUGUCAAGAUCCAUCUAGUCACUGUGGGGAGAGGAGACUGGGGAGCAAGAUGGACACACAGAAUGUGAUUGAAAUUUGGUCCUCUCUCUCAGAUGCUGAGAGAGAGAGAAGAUGAAGAUGGCCUUUGAUCUGCUCUCUCUGGGGGAGAGAUAUAAACAAAUAAUUAAACACAGCUAAGCAAUGGUACCAACGAGAGCCAGCAAUCCCGACUAAGCAAUAACAAUAACUGGCAUUUAGCUGUCACUGACUACAGCCUCAUCUUCUUCACAUGUUAUAGAUUUAUUCCUCCAAAAAACCCUACAAAGUAGGAGGCACAAUUUCCGGGCCAUCAAUCGGCAAAUGCCACCCAGUUUCUUAGCACUCUAAGCUGCCAGUGGCGUAUAAAGACACACUGAGGCCCUGGGAAGUUAGGCAACUUGCUGAAAACCAAGCUCAACGUAAGUGGCAGAGCUGGGAUCCGAGCCCAGGCAGCCUGACUCCAGAGCAGGGUUCUGAAUAGGUCGUGAUGUUGGCUCCAAAUAUCUUCCUUGUAGUCAUUUGAGCUUCUGAUCUCUGUCUGAGGAAAGAGAAAAACAUCCAAGGAAAAUACAAAGUCCUCUCAAAAUGAUAACGGACAGAUUUACGAGGCUGAGGACGGCGGUAAAAGCAGCAAGAGGCUUUAACGAGCUAAGAAUUCUUUUAGCCUAAGAAAGCGAUUUGCAUCUUUCCCAAAUUAUAAAAAUCAUUCUUCCCCAGGCUCCAGCAAAUUGCUAUGUCUUAUUUAUCUUGUUCUCCACCCAAACAGAGGAGAACUUUUUCUUCUUAAAAUUGAGAUCUAUUUCUGGUAAAAUUUCUCCCCUUAAAUUUUGGGUUUUCUUUUUGAGGAAUGUUUAUUUUGGUUUGGCUAAUUGGAAGGGCAGUGUUGACAG